CCUACGGGCGGCAGCAGUGGGGAAUAUUGGACAAUGGGGGGAACCCUGAUCCGGCCAUGCCGCGUGUGUGAAGAAGGCCCUCGGGUUGUAAAGCACUUUCAGUGAGGAAGAACGCCUGGUGGUUAAUACCCAUCAGGAAAGACAUCACUCACAGAAGAAGCACCGGCUAACUCCGUGCCAGCAGCCGCGGUAAUACGGAGGGUGCGAGCGUUAAUCGGAAUUACUGGGCGUAAAGCGCGCGUAGGUGGCUUGAUAAGCCGGUUGUGAAAGCCCCGGGCUCAACCUGGGAACGGCAUCCGGAACUGUCAAGCUAGAGUGCAGGAGAGGAAGGUAGAAUUCCCGGUGUAGCGGUGAAAUGCGUAGAGAUCGGGAGGAAUACCAGUGGCGAAGGCGGCCUUCUGGACUGACACUGACACUGAGGUGCGAAAGCGUGGGUAGCAAACAGGAUUAGAUACCCCGGUAGUC
This 465-nucleotide ribosomal RNA is filed under the name Vreelandella stevensii. Its description in RNAcentral is "partial 16S ribosomal RNA". It matches the Rfam family "Bacterial small subunit ribosomal RNA", at positions 338 to 795 of the family's 1533-position model. Lineage: Bacteria; Pseudomonadati; Pseudomonadota; Gammaproteobacteria; Oceanospirillales; Halomonadaceae. The record is from RNAcentral.